CAAAUUUUGUAGGGAUAUAUAUAAUCUCUGCGCUUCAACGAAAAUAAUAUCAAAAUUAAGAACAAUUUUUUCUUUGAAAUUUCUUUUUCUAUUUUGUUUUCAUGUGGACGCUCAUCGUGCUUCACUCGAUCGACAAAUGCUAAUGGAGAUUUUGUAAGGGAGAGCCGCAAAAAGAAUCUGCGAAGCUUCUUCUGGAUCUGAUCUUAUACCAAAGCUCCGAUAUCAAUCUCUCAUGUUUGUUCCAUAUUUUCUAAUUUAUUCAUAAUUUGAGUUUUUCCUUAAAAAAAAAUUAUGCUUGUAGAUAUUCCGGUCAUGAAGAAAUGAGAGAAAUCGACUCUCCGAGCUUCAAGCAAAGGAAAUUGUUGAUACAGAUUUCGGGUAUGGCGGUCGGAGGCAGUUGACUGAGAGGUAGAGCUUUAAUGGAAUAGUAAUGAAGUUUACUUGGUUUUGGUGGGAAGGAGUGGAGUUGCUUGGCCUCUUUUAUCGGGGUCCUAGUUUAUAUCAUGACAGAGCCACGUGUCACACUGUGAUUGAGUCUAGAUGAGCAGGUGGACUGUACUGAUAGGUCUAAGUAGAGUGACUUUACAGUGAGGUGUUUGAGAUUUGAGGGGAUUCAACGAUGGUUUAAAAAGAUGGUAAACUGGAGCACCUCGAAUUUUUGUUUGUUUAUUUUUUUAUGGCAUUGCUUAUUAGUUUUCUCUUUUGCAUAUUAUUACCAUUUUCUACUGAAUAUUGUUGGAGGAGCUUC
Gossypium arboreum is the source of this 748-nucleotide long non-coding RNA. RefSeq lists it as uncharacterized. The record is from RefSeq and is a predicted model, not a curated record. The transcript has 3 exons. Lineage: Eukaryota; Viridiplantae; Streptophyta; Magnoliopsida; Malvales; Malvaceae.